UACGUAGGGGGCUAGCGUUGUCCGGAUUUAUUGGGCGUAAAGAGCGUGUAGGCGGCCAGGUAGGUCUGCUGUGAAAACUCGAGGCUCAACCUCGAGACGUCGGCGGAAACCAUCUGGCUAGAGUCCGGAAGAGGAGAGUGGAAUUCCUGGUGUAGCGGUGAAAUGCGUAGAUAUCGUUUGGAACGCCAAAGGUGAAAACAGGUCGCUGGGAGUGUGCUGACGCUGAGACACGAAAGCCAGGGGAGCAAACGGG
This 253-nucleotide ribosomal RNA is filed under the name uncultured bacterium. RNAcentral's name for it is "partial 16S ribosomal RNA". It matches the Rfam family "Bacterial small subunit ribosomal RNA", at positions 524 to 776 of the family's 1533-position model. The record is from RNAcentral.